RNAcentral lists this ribosomal RNA (433 nucleotides) under uncultured bacterium. RNAcentral's name for it is "partial 16S ribosomal RNA". It matches the Rfam family "Bacterial small subunit ribosomal RNA", at positions 29 to 507 of the family's 1533-position model. The record is from RNAcentral.
AACGAACGCUGGCGGCAUGCCUAACACAUGCAAGUCGAACGAAGUCUUCGGACUUAGUGGCGCACGGGUGCGUAACGCGUGGGAAUCUGCCCUUGGGUACGGAAUAACUCAGAGAAAUUUGUGCUAAUACCGUAUAAUGUCUUCGGACCAAAGAUUUAUCGCGCAAGGAUGAGCCCGCGUAAGAUUAGCUAGUUGGUGGGGUAAAAGCCUACCAAGGCGACGAUAUUUAGCUGGUCUGAGAGGAUGAUCAGCCACACUGGGACUGAGACACGGCCCAGACUACUAAGGGAGGCAGCAGUGGGGAAUAUUGGAAAAUGGGCGAAAGCCUGAUACAGCAAUGCCGCGUGAGUGAUGAAGGCCGUAGGGUUGUAAAGCUCUUUUACAAGGGAUGAUAAUGACAGUACCUGGAGAAUAAGCUCCGGCUAACUCCGUG